AGAACAGGUCUCCCUAUGUUGUACAGGUUGGUCUUGAACUCCUGGCCUCAAGUGAUCCUCCCACCUCAGCCCCCUAAAGCGCUGGAAUUACAAGCAUGAGCCACUGUGCCUGCCUUCCCACAGCAUUGCUUCUAAACAAGGAACUCACUUCACAGUAAAAGAAGUGUGGCAAUAGUCCCGUGCUUGUGGAAUUCGCUGUUUUUACCAUGUUUCUCACCAGCCUGAAGCAGCUGGCUUGAUAGAAUUAUAGAAUGACCUUUGGAAGACUGAGUUACAGCACUAGCUAGGUGAUGAUACCUUGCAUGGCUUGGGCAAGGUUCUCUGGAAGGCUCUAUAUGCUCUGAACCAGCUAAUAGCGGGUGCUGUUUCUCCCCUAGCUAGGAUUCUUAGGUCCAGGAAUUGUGGUGUAAAAAUGGGAGUGGCAUUGCUUACUAUUAAGCCCAAUAAUGCACUAGCAACAUUGUCGCUUCUUGUUCCUGUGACUUUAUGCUCUGUUAGCCUAGAGGUCUUAGUUCCAGAGGGAGGAAUGUUUUCACCAAGAGAAACAACAGUGAUCCCAUUGAACAAGAAGUAAAGACGGCCAUCUGGACACUUUGGGCUCCUCAUGCCUCAGAGUCAACAAGUAAAGAAGGGAGUCACAGUGCUGGCUGUGAUUGAUCCUGAUUACCAAGUGGAAACUGGACUGUAUUCCACAAUGGAGACUCUCCAGAAGGGGACCAACUCCCGUACUGGGGACCAGAACUGGUCCCCGGCCUGUUAGGAACCGGACCGCACAGGAGGGGAACAAGUGUUACCGCCUGAACUCCGCCUCCAGUCAGAUCAGCAGCAUAGGUUCACAUAGGAGCGAGAACCCUAUUGUGAACUGCAUAUGCGAGGGAUCCAGCUUGCAAGCUUCUUCUGAGAAUCGGAUGCCUGAAUAUCUGAGGUGGAACAGUUUCAUGCCGAAAUCAUCCUCGGCCCUCCACCUGUCCGUGGAAAAAUUGUCUUCCACAAAACCAGUCCCUGGUGCCAAAAAGGCUGGGGACUGCUGCUCUACAGGACCCUCUGCACUUGCCUGCUCUCCCACUCUCCUCCAGAGAGCUCAUCCAUUUCCUGAGCCUCCAUUCAUUUGAAUCUCUGCUGACUUUUGCAUUUUGAAUUUGCAUCACAAACUCUAGCCCCUUACUCCCAGGCCUGUAUCUUCAGAUGUCUCUGGAUUCUAACCAUUUGAAUGUCCUCAAAUGUAAUGUAUCUCAACCUAAAUAUUCCUGGUGAGUUCAAAUACCCUUAACGAUCCCAUUUUUGACUGUCAGUUACUGAGGCUGAUGAAAUGAUACAUUGCUGGCCAGGCAAGGUGGCUCAUGCCUGUAAUCCCAGCACUUUCGGAGGCCAAGGUGGGAGGUUCACUUGAACCCAGGAAUUCGAGGCCAGCCUGGGCAACAUAGUAAGUAUCUAUUUAAAAAAUGUUUAAAUUAGCCAGAUGUGGUGGCAUGCAUCUGUAGUCCUAGCUAUUCAGGAGGCUGAGACAGGAAGAUCACUUGAUCCCAGGAGUUUGAGGCUGCAGUGAGCCACAUUCAUACCACUGUACUCAGCCUGGGUGACAGAGCAACAUCCUGUCUUUAAAACAAACAAAUAAGCCAGGCACGGUGGCUCACACCUAUAAUCCCAGCACUUUGGGAGGCUGAGGUGGGCAGAUCAUCUGAGGUCAGGAGUUCGAGAUCAGCCUGACCAACAUGAAGAAACCCUAUCUCUACUAAAAAUACAAAAAAAAAGAAAAAAAAAAAAAGCUGUGUGCAGUGGCGCAUGCCUAUAAUCCCAGCUACUCUGGAAGCUGGGGCAGGAGAAUCUCUUCGACCUGGGAGGCAGAAGUUGUGGUAAGCCACGGUCCUACCAUUGCACUCCAGCCUGGGCAACAAGAGCGAAACUCUGUCUCAAAACAAACAAACAAACAAAAAUGCAUUGCAGGCUGUGACUUUACUGCCCAUUAGUUGGCAUGCUGUUCAACAAUUUGUAUCCAUAAGAAAUGGACACAGUUAACUGAUAAGAACUAAAGAAAUUAUCUUUUGUUGCUUGUAUCUUUGUCUUAUGAAUUCCACACCCCACCCCCCUUUUUUAGGAGAAAGUACUUGAGAAGUGAAAAUCAAUAAUUCACUUAGUUUCAGAUUAUUGAGUACUGGACUAUGAAAUGUGAUAUGCUCAUAAGAAAUAUUUAACACCUUUGGUUGCUAAUUAAAACAUUACAAACCUUAUUUCAAUAAGUAUUAGCUAAUACAAUACAGUUCAACUAGAAAAAUAUUUAUAGAAGACAUAUUUUGCAAUAAAAGUAUCUAAGACAGUUUUACCUUCUACUUAUCUGACUUAAAUUAACAAUAGGUAUUUUUCAUAGCAGUUAGAACUGAGUUUCGUAAACAUAGAUUCAUGUUGAUUGCCCUUCAGGUUGUAAUACCUUAGUAAUAUACGCUUAAUGAUAAGUGACCUGAUAAUAGAAUGCCAGACAAUUAAUUUAUGUAUUUUAACAUAUGGCAAACAUUGUGGAUGGGUCAGCAAAAAGGACAUAAAACAGACUCCUUCAAAUAAACAGUAAUUCACAAUUUAACCAAGAAAUUGAAAGUGGCAUCAAAAAUACUGGUACAGGAUUAGUGUGUCAGGUUCAAAACAGUACCCGGUAAGAAUUGUAACAAUUUUCUUAAGAGGAGAGUUUGAGAAGGAGCAUGCGAUAAGUCAGGGACCCCAGGUAAGAAGAGAAGAUUUAAAUAAACUGAGCUCCUCAGCUUGUCCAGAGCUCCUUGCCCU
Long non-coding RNA from Callithrix jacchus (white-tufted-ear marmoset), 2772 nucleotides. The record is from Ensembl. Lineage: Eukaryota; Metazoa; Chordata; Mammalia; Primates; Cebidae.